Molecule: ribosomal RNA, 381 nt
Filed under: uncultured marine Chaetocerotaceae
Lineage: Eukaryota; Bacillariophyta; Thalassiosirophyceae; Chaetocerotales; Chaetocerotaceae
Description: SSU rRNA
Rfam family: Eukaryotic small subunit ribosomal RNA
Source: RNAcentral
AGCUCCAAUAGCGUAUAUUAAAGUUGCUGCAGUUAAAAAGCUCGUAGUUGCAUUUCCGAGGCAAGGGAUUAGUCCGACCUUUGGUGGGUAUUUAAUCCUCUUGCCUCGUCCUUGAGUGGUGCUUCUUGGUAUUAAGUUAUCGAGGAGAUAGCCGCUCAUCGUUUACUGUGAGAAAAUUAGAGUGUUCAAAGCAGGCUUAUGCCGUUGAAUAUAUUAGCAUGGAAUAAUAAGAUAGGACCUCGGUACUAUUUUGUGGGUUUGAGAACCAAGGUAAUGAUGAAUAGGGACAGUUGGGGGUAUUCGUAUUCAGUUGUCAGAGGUGAAAUUCUUAGAUUUACGGAAGACGAACUACUGCGAAAGCAUUUGCCAAGGAUGUUUUCA